CCCUUAGAUGUCCGGGGCUGCACGCGCGCUACACUGAAGGAAUCAACGUGCUAAAACCAUUGUCGAAAGGCAUUGGUAAACCCAUUAAAAUCCUACGUGAUUGGGAUCGGGAAUUGCAAUUAUUUCCCUUGAACGAGGAAUUCCCAGUAAGUGUGGGUCAUAAGCUCGCGUUGAUUACGUCCCUGCCCUUUGUACACACCGCCCGUCGCUGCCCGGGACUGAGCCGUUUCGAGAAAAGCGGGGACUGCUGCUGUCGGGGCUUUCGGGCCUUGGCUUCGGUGGAAACCGCUUUAAUCGCAGUGGCUUGAACCGGGCAAAAGUCGUAACA
RNAcentral lists this ribosomal RNA (328 nucleotides) under uncultured eukaryote. Its description in RNAcentral is "partial 18S ribosomal RNA". It matches the Rfam family "Eukaryotic small subunit ribosomal RNA", at positions 1470 to 1796 of the family's 1831-position model. The record is from RNAcentral.